UGCAUCUAUGUAUUGCGCUGCGUCGAU
RNAcentral lists this non-coding RNA (27 nucleotides) under Bombyx mori (domestic silkworm). The record is from RNAcentral. Lineage: Eukaryota; Metazoa; Arthropoda; Insecta; Lepidoptera; Bombycidae.